UCCUGGCUGGCUCAGUCAGUAUAGCAUGUGACUCUUGAUCUUGGGGUCAUGGGUUCAAGCCCCAUGUUGGGCG
Molecule: transfer RNA, 73 nt
Filed under: Ailuropoda melanoleuca (giant panda)
Lineage: Eukaryota; Metazoa; Chordata; Mammalia; Carnivora; Ursidae
Rfam family: tRNA
About the family: Transfer RNA (tRNA) molecules are approximately 80 nucleotides in length. Their secondary structure includes four short double-helical elements and three loops (D, anti-codon, and T loops).
Source: Rfam by way of RNAcentral